Molecule: non-coding RNA, 24579 nt
Organism: Pelobates cultripes (western spadefoot toad)
Lineage: Eukaryota; Metazoa; Chordata; Amphibia; Anura; Pelobatidae
Source: the annotation of a GenBank genome assembly
AGCAAUACUAUGAAGUUCCCAUUGUAAUGAAGUCAGUGUUCGACAUAGUAGAUACUUUCCAGUCCAGACUCAAGGAAAUGGAAAGGCAAAAAAGAGAAGGAAUUACAUGCAAGAAGGAAGACAAGACGAGGUCCUUAGAGAACUUCCUUUCUAGGUAAAUAUAUAUAUAGAUAGAUAUACCUGUAUAUGUAUCCGAGUUUUGGCUGAUUUACUUGGUUAUUUGCUAUGCUAAUAUUAAUCCUCCAUGUUCUGGAUUAACUUAAGUAGCCAUCCAUGUGUGCUUUUGCAUGUGGUGUAGAUCACUUUGUGGUGCAAACAUUUUUUCAGGAUCUACCUUAUUAUCAAGACUAAUGUUUAACCUUCAUGACAAAGUCUGUGUGUGGUAUGAAGAUGCUAUUAAUGUACUUAACAAGCUCAGUACCACGUAUGGACUAGGUUUAAAUGCCAUUAAUAUUGCCACUAUUGACACAUCACAUAAAAUGGCUGUAUGGAGGUCCUACAAUGAAGGUCCUACAAUUCAGGUGAUUGGAGACUCUAUGGAGAUCUUACAAUGCAUGGAGGCUGUAUGGAGGUCGUACAAUGGAGGUCCUACAAUGCAGGUGAUUGGAGGCUGUAUGGAGGUCCUACAAUGCACAGAGGCUAUAUGGAGGACCUACAAUGCAGUUGAUUGUGGGAACAGCGGACCCCAUUCUUAUCAUCAUCACAAAGUAGUAGGGCCUCCAUUACAAGUUGUACACUCCACGCUCUCAGUGUUAACCUCAUGUACAUGCUGUUACUGGACAGUCUGAAUCCUGAGACUGUCCAGAAGCAAGAUCUAGACUAGAGCUUGUCACAGCCAUAGGUUCACUGUGAUCACAGUAGUUAUCCCCCCAAUUCCUGCAUGGAAUGUUAGGAUUAGCUGUCAAACUGAAGGACUGCAUCACAAAGAGUCAGUCCAGCAGUAAUCCCUGAUUGGCUACCAUCCUGACCCUGUGAGUUAUUUACAGUAAUAACCUAAAAAUAAACUAAACUGUCAGUCAAGGCAGGUUAUUACUGUGAUUGGCUUCCAGGGUGAUAAAUCAGCCUGGGGGAUCAAUCUACUAAAAUGCAUAGCUUGGGUUAAACUUAAUGUUAGGUUUAGGGUUAGCAUUAGGGUUACAAUUAAGGUUAUGGUUAAGAGAGGGUUAAAAAAAAAAAAAAAGCUGUGGUGCUGGUCAAUAUGCUGACACAGAUAGUGUAACCACCAAAUAGUGUAUCUGUAAAGCAGGUAUAGCGGCAUGUCAAAAUUAGGGCACAUCUCUAAUGCAAAACUGUAAAUUACCACCAAACCUAGCAAAGAUGCACAAGUUGGUCAGUGUUGCACUUAGCGCCAGUAGCAGAAUACAAAUCAGGGGUCUUUACAGUAGUGGGACAAAAAUGGUCUGUGAAAUUAACCAAGAAAAUGACACAUUUGGGAAAAUCACAAAAAAAAGAAUCAGGUAUACCCAGUAGUUUUAACUGGGUUAGUGGCAAAAUGGUUAAAUGAACACUGUCAACAUACUGAUAAAUAGCCUGAUGCAUCUAUUUUCUACAAGCAUAUACUUUUGAGUAACACAUUUGUAUUCUGCGACUGCUAUAAAGGUUAAAGUGUUAGCAUGCCAAAUUUGGCAAAGAUUUAGUUGUAAAACUGUAAUUCAUUGCUUGCCAUAUUUGUCCUGUAGUGGCCAAAAAAUUUAUUGAAAUCCUAGACAUAUGAGGCAUUUUCACAAUGGGCACUAAUAAGUGAAUCUAUUUAGACAAUAUUUUAUUUAGUUGCACUAGCUGUGUAGAAGUUAUUAUGAGCAAAGCUUUUAAAACCACUUAUUUUUAAUACUUUGGUAAUAAUUAGUACAUGUUAGGAAUACAUAAAGGGUGUCAGAAGAACACCCUAUCUGUCCUCUUAAAAACUGUUAUAUGUUAUGUAUGGGUAAAUAUGAUGGGAUACACCUCUAGAAAACAUGCCAAAAAAGCCUUUAUCUAGUAAUAUCAGCAUUUGGGAAAAGGCUCAGUCAUGAAGGGGUUAAUAUUUCAGUAUCAGAUACUUAUAUUUAUGUGAAUCAACUGCCUACUUGAUGGGAUUUGUGGUAUACUUGCUUCCAUUUCUGGAUUUUGUGUUAAACUGCUAGUGCGUUAGUGCUCCCCCUGCAGGAUGUUUGCUACAUUUUUCAAGUGUGGUUUAUUUUUAAGCAUAGUGUUCUGUUAAAUUAGGUAAACAGAUAUUAGAGUUUGCCUUGAGUACAGUUUUGUGAAAGAAAUAAGAGUCUGGUGAAAAACCCGAUACCAUGGUUAUUGUUAAAAUAUGCAUUCGUUUUACAGUUGACUGUUCAUGUUCUCCAUGUAUGCAAAUUAUCAUGAAAACUGUAUGGUGUUUUUAUAGGCUAAUAACUAAAAUAUAGUGCUCAAUCGCUUGUAGCAAAGAAUGGAAAAUAGUAAUGAAGAAUCAGGCAGUGAACUAGUGAAAGUGUUCAAACAUACUAUCAGUGUUAUUUACUAAAGUGGGAAUUCAAAGUGAAUUUUAAAUGUAAGGCAAAAUAGCCAAACUGGAAACAUUAUCUUAUUCAGCUAUGCUUCCAGUUUAGCUACUUUUGCCAAAGAUUUGAAAUUCACUUUUAACUCUCACUUUAGUGAAUAACCUUUUAUAUUUUUUUAAUUCAUUCAUAAAUCUUAUAUACACACGAGGGAGACAGGAUGAUCCUUAUUAUGGUAAAAUAAUGACUUCAAGGAAUUCUGGUGACAUCAAAAUGAACCAUUGGACUGAUUAGUCAAUUAGUUUUAUAAGUAUUUACCGAACUCUGACAUGAUAUCAUUUUCCUAUAUUGCACAUUUCAACAUAUUUUAUCUUUUAUAUCAUGUGAUAUUUUUCGGCUACAGUUAACAGUUAAACGAACACUAUAGGGUCAGGAACACAAUGGCGUUAUAUAAAUAAUAUAAUAAUAAUAAUAAUAAUAAUAAUAUUUUCUUGACCCUAUAGUGUUAAAACCUCCAUCUACCCCUCCUCCUCCCCGACCCCCCUUGCCCUCCCCAUAUAUAAUAUAAUCUUACCUUUACUCCAGUCUGCGGCUGCUACUGCUACUGCCGGCUCUGCCCCUGAUCUGCCUGCUUGACUGACAUCAUCAGAAGUGUUGCUCAAAGCCAAUCACAAUGCUUUCCCAUAGGAAACCAUUGGAUUGUCUGAGACUGUCAAGGAGGCAGAUCAGGGGCAGAGCCAGCACAAGUCAAACACAGCUCUGGUCAAUCAGCAUCUCCUCAUAGAGAUGCAUUGAACAAAUGCAUCUCUAUGAGGAAAGUUCAGUGUCUCUAUGGAGAGGGUGGAGACACUGAAUGGCAGUUCCCCAGGAAGGAUCUCUAGCAGCCAUCUGAGGAGUGGCCAGUGAAGUUAUCACUAGGCUGUAAUGUAAACACUGCAUUUUCUCUGAAAAGAUAGUGUUUACAGCAAAAGCCUGAAGGGAAAAAAUAUAUACUUACCAGAACAAAUACAAUAAGCUGCAGUUGUUCUGGUAAUUAUAAUGUCCCUUUAAGUGGUAGCUUUAGUGUUUAGUGGGUAUAAUGGGAGUUACUCCGAUGCCACAAUUUCUGUUGGUCUUGAGGUAAGUGUUUUUUUGUUUUUUUUUCAAAACACAAUCAGACAGCAUAUCAAAACCAAACUAGGUCUUGAGCUAAAUCACUUGCAAAACAUAGGAAGAUUCAGGUACUUGAAAAAAACCUUAUUAGGAACUCCCUGUUAAGAAAUUACAUUGUUUCAGUCAAUUAAGACCUUUGUCUAGUCAUUAAGGUUGAAAAAGGCCUUACUUGGCCAAAACGUUGACACUUCUAAACUUCAACAGUUCCUAAUAAAAUCUGCACAAAAAAAGUUUUUGGAGUGCCCAGAACCUUUUCUGUUUUGGAAGUCUGGCUAGGAGUAUGCCGGCCCCAUGUUACACUAACCUAUAACCCGUAUAACAUUGCAAUACACUAACCUUGAACCUAUGGACUGUCCUAGCGAACGCUAAAACUAAUGCUUAAUACAUUCACUUUCCUAACACACUUACACUCCCCAUAACCCUUUAUCUCUACACCACAAUAAUACUUACAAUAACAUUGACAACGAACCCCUACACUACCCUAACACUACAGUUGAUCCCACACUGAAAUAAUACUUACAUUAUCACUAAUCCCUACAUUACCCUAACACAUUACCCAAAGGGUAGGCAACCUUAGGCACUCCAAAUGUUGUGGACUACAUCUCCCUUGAUGCUUUGCCAGCAUUAUGGCUAUAAAACAUUAUGGGAGAUUUAGUCCACAACAUCUGGAGUGCCGGAGAUUGCCUACCUCUGCACUGUACAAAAUAACUGAAUUGUCUAUUUUCAACUUCCUUAACGAAACACACAAAACAUUGCAAAGUCCAUAUUGAUACUAUAAGUUGCUGACUCAUUUUUUAGCAUCAUCAAUGCACUUUGUGAUCUGUAACCCUCAACUUGUGAUGUAAUCAAAAAUCCCACAAUGGUGCCAGUUAUUAUUUUGUUAAAGGGACACUCCAAAGCCCUAAAACACUUUGGCUUGCUGAAAUGCUUUAUGUUGAAGACUGAAUAGUUUGUCCUCUUUUUUUCCAUUUAAAAAAAUUUGUGGAUUUCAAUAGAAAUGUGUACUUUUAUAAAGUAAUCUUGGUACACCCCCUUGCUGUCAGUCAGACGAACGGUCCUCUUACUUUCUGGUAUGGUUAGCUCAGAGGAGCUAAACUCAAGAGGCAGCAAUUGACUAGAACACCUGCCUUGCAAAGACUUCUCAUUAAGCUGCAUUGGGAAGCCUGUGAUUGUACAGCCAUAAAAAGUCUGGGCUGGCAUAGAAAGGUUUGUAAAGGCAGAAGAAAAAAAUAUCUGCACAUUUUGCAAAUUGUUUUUGGAUAUAGGAUACCGUAUAUACUAUACUUGUGCUAAAAACCCCAACUAAUACUUGAGUCAGUCUGUAUUGUGGCAACUUACAUUGCCACAAUACAGACCAGGACCGCCGGGCUCAUUACAAGCCCGGCGGUCCUGUUGGGGGCUGACAGUGAGCUGUUACUUACCUUCCUGCAGCUCCCUCCUCCUCCGUGCAGCUCCUCUGUCAGCUCCCCCCACUGAACUGCCAAUGCCACUGGACCACCAGUGAUUUAAUAUUAUUAAGAUAAUAUAAUAUUAUUUUAUUAUUAUAUUAUUUUAAUAUUUGCCUUAUUUUUUUUUAAAUGUUUUUUUUUGUCCACCCUCCCUGCUUGUUGCCUGGUCAGGGAGGGGGGACAAAAAAACAUUUAAAAAAAAAAAUAAUGCAAAUAUUAAAAUAAUAAUAAUAUAAUAAAAUAACAUUAUUAAAAUAUAAUAUUUAAAUAAUAAUAUUAUUAUAUUAUUAUUAUUUUAAUAUUAUAUUAUUUUAAUAAUAUUAUUUUAUUAUUAUAUUAUUAUUAUUAUUAUAAUAUUUGCAUUAUUUUUUUUAAAUGUUUUUUUGUCCCCCCCUCCCUGACCAGGCAACAAGCAGGGAGGGGGGACAAAAAAACAUUUUAAAAAAAAUAAUAUAAUAUUAAAAUAAAAAUUUUUAAAUAAAAAUGCCCUCCCCUCACCCAGUUUACAUACACUGCACAAACACACACACUGCAUUAUAUACACACUGCAUUCAUUAUAUACACACAACACACAAACACAAACACUGCAUUCAUUAUAUAUACACAUACAAACACACACUCUGCAUUCAUUAUAUACACACACACACAAACACACACUCUGCAUUCAUUCUAUGCACACACUGUAAAUAAAUAUUCAAUUAAUGUAAUUUUAUUGGGAUCUAAUUUUAUUUAGAAAUUUACCAGUAGCUGCUGCAUUUCCCACCCUACUCGAGUCAAUACGUUUUCCCAGUUUUUUGUGGUAAAAUUAGGGGCCUUGGCUUAUAUUCGGGUCGGCUUAUACUCGAGUAUAUACGGCAUUUGGAUAUUCAUUGUGAGUAUAUCUACAAAACAGUGAUUUUAUUUAUAUUUCUUAUUUGGAUAGUGGAGUGUCCCUUUACUCUGUAAAUAUUGGAUUGUCAAACUCGACAGUUUGAGAUUGACAAAUCUAGUUUUAAAUCGAUAACAUUUUCUGACUUUAACAUCCACUUUACAAGCAGUAAAAUGGUCCAUAAAUUUUGGAAUAGUAAUCAGUUUAACCCCUUAAGGAAACAUGACAUGUGUGACAUGUCAUGAUUCCCUUUUAUUCCAGAAGUUUGGUCCUUAAAGGGUUAAGAGCAAACUUCCAGUCAAAAUCCAGACAACCUUGUCAAUCAGUUACUGGCCUGGGAUUGCAAUGUAACCCAUGAAUUUUAAGUGGCACCAUAAAAUGCAUCAUAAUUUAUAGAACUAAUAGUUCUAGUACUAAUUAGGGGAGAAUAAAUAUGUUUUUGUAUUUUAUAUAUAUAUAUAUAUAUAUUUAUAUAUAUUUUUUAAUGUAAAAGAUAAAAGGUUGUCCACUGUUAAAUUUCAAUGGAAACUUUCAGUAUGCAAUGCUUAACACUGCCCUUCUACAAUAUUACUUUUUGGGGUUUUUUAGGCACCACCUAAACACAAUAAGCAAAUAAUAUCAUAUCCCUUAUCUGAAAGUAAAAUCCCAUCCCUAUGCAUUUGCAUUCCUUUUAUAACUGUUAAAUGAUUUGAUUAAUCUUGGAUAUACUAUUGGGAUAUUCCAUUUCUAAGUUGUUCAUGGCUUUUAUUUUCAGAUGGCUUAUGUUGUAUAUCAGAUUACUUACUCAAAAUUUCCAAAACCGUUUUUUGUUCCCUGUGAUUGCUUUGCAUUCCUUUUGUUUCUCAUUCUUAGGUGGGGUUCUCCGCUGUAUUUAACUCUGAAACGUUUGAUCAGCUUAGCUUAUAUAAUAUGUGGGUUUUAUAAAGAACAAUAGAGGUUCAAUAGUCUAAGCAGUUGAGCAUCAUAAUUAAAAUAAAUUGAAUUCUCCUGAGUAUUGUUCCUCUGUUAGAAUCAAGGUGAAUAUCCAGACGUGGAGGAGUUUUGACAGGAGCUUCAGUGUAGCAGUAAGUUUGGGAGCUGACUAAUGCACUAAUGGUGGGGCUUUGUAGCUAAUCAACAUACUCAUCAAGUAUGGAAAGGCCACUUGAAAUUGGCCACAAGGCAGGAACAGGAUUGCAGGAGCACAUAUGUGCCUAACAUAACUGUCAAAUGUAUGAAGGACAAGGCACUUUAGUAAUGAUAACAUUAUACAAAUAUGUGCAUGGCUCUCUGAUUGCCAGUUCAGAUUCAGGUCUGCACAAAGGACAAGAGGUCAUCUUCUGAAAUAUCACCUACCAUCGGAAAAUUGGUGACAAACUAGCUGAUAGGGAUUUUAUUAAAGCAACACUCCCUGCAUGCUGUAGUGGUUAUGAUGCCAAGAGUGACCUGCCACCGCCCAAAUGUAAGUAAUCAGACCAUUUGCUAAUUGUUUGACUCGUUUGACUCCUCACCUGGAGCCUGUCAGACACCACUCCCUGCCUUCCCCCUUUUUCUCAUCUGCUGUGGAGAGACGGAAACUCCUGCAAGGAAGCUCUGUUGUCUCUCCUGACCAAAGCCCUGUAUUGCAGGCCAGCUCAUUGGCUGAGAGAGUCAGCUGAAUCAUUCCCAGCCAAUGAGGUAAACCAUGCACCGCCAAGCUUAGCUAAGUACCGAGAGCUUAUUUUUCUCAUAGAUAAUGUAACAGGUUCCCAGCAGACUUCAGGUAAAAAGUAAAAGCCAUUUGACUACUGACACGGGGGGAGCCCCAGGGCACUCUUGGUAUCAUAACGAUUACAUUGUUGUAACUAUUAUGAUGCUUGGAGUGUACCUUUAAUAGCUUGCAGGUACAUGGAGAAAUGUGAUUGGCCCUUUGGGGUCAUUUACAAUAAUCUUCUACUUUUAUAUAUAACAUAACAAUAAAUAAAAUAUUAAACAAUGGUAAGAAAACAAAAUACAUCUCAAUUUUCAAUUUAAUACUUUAUAUUUCAGCUAAAGAAGAUUCACUAAUUAGCCCUGAUUGUCAAAAUGCCCAAUGUGUCUAGGAUUUCAAUAAACAUUUAGAAAUAAUAAAGCAAAUAUUGCAAUGAGUACAUUACGGUUUUAAAGAAACACCUUAUUGUUUGGCGUGCUGAAAUUGUUAUCUUAAUAGUAGUCACAGAAUACCAACCCCUACAUAAAAGUCUACAUUAGUAGAAAGUAGAUCCCAAGGCUAAUAAACUGAGAGCAUUUUGUUUAACCAUUUUAUCACCAAACGGGGUCAGUGAAGCAAUGAGCACACUGAUACCCCACAUGUAUACCUUUGCCAGGAGUUUCAGAGAAUGUAGGGACAAAUAACAGACAUGCCACUGACGUGUCACUUUGUUUACAUACUAGAGAUAUGAUUUGGUAAAGUGACAUUAUCUGUGUCAGCGUAAUGAGCAGCAUGAAAUAUAAGCGCUAUUUCUGAACCUACCCCUACCCCUAAUCAACCCUCUAAUCCUAACAUCGACUAUAUACCUACCCAUAAGUCUAACCCUAACCCUGACAUCAACAGAGGGAUUUCCCAUCUCACACAGUACAGAGCACUCUGUCAGUGCUCUCUACUGUUGGCAGCUGGAAAAGCCCAGUGCCGAUCACUUGUGGCAUGCAGAGAGACACUGGGGUGUCAGUCUGUCCAUUGAAAGCUCGAAGUCCUCUGGUGAUUUAAAAGGAUGUCGAGGGAUACUAUCAGAACCAUUAAGACUACAGUCUGAUGUAGUGGUUCUGAGCUCACAGAAGCUUCUUGCAGGCUAGCAGAAUAAACAAGGAAAAUCCUGCAAGAAGCUUCUGUGAGCUCCUAUUAACUAACCCCUUAGCGUUCUCCGCCAAUAAGCGAUUCCCUGCACUGCUGAGCUAAGCUCAGUGCAAGACCGCCCUGGACAGAAGAGGCAUCUGUGAGCACCUUGUGGACUCCAGAUAAGGUGUCAAACCAUUCUCAAACCGUUUGAAUACUUACACUGGGGAGCAUCAGAACACUCUUGGUACCAUAACCCCUAUAGCACUCUGUAGUAUUUAUGGUGAUUGUAGUCUUACUUUAAAAUAUUAAAUGGAACAAUAAUUGGAACAAUAGUUCCUCAAUAACAUUCAAACAUGUGAAAGAUGGAUAACAUAUCAGAAUGCAGGGGCUUUUAUGUGUGGAACAAAAUGUCUGAUAUUUAAUGCAAAUGCUGCAGUAUACCAUAAUUACCUAUACGGGCUUAUAAGACUCACUAUUUAUUAAAUAAAAUGUAUAAAAAAUAUAGCAUCCAUCUUUUUUUUAUCCUCUCAGCAUCUUCUCCAGUGGUAAAGGGUAUCACAUUUUGUGUCAUUUUUAAAAUUCAUGGGUUCUAUAUGUUCUAUACAUAUUGAAUAUUUGUUUUCUUUCUUUAUUGAAGUCAAUCAUUUAUUUUCUCCAUCGAACUGAUUUUCCAAAGUGUAGCUUCUAGAAUUGACGUAAAUGGUUUGUUUAUCUUUGAUUUUGCAAUGCAGACCUGGCUGCUGUGCGAAUUCUAUAAUUUCAGACUGAAUUUAACUCUUGUUAAGUUUCUUUUAGGAGCACUGUCCAUAGGCAUUGAUGGAUGUUUGUUUAAAACAAAAAAUGACAACUCAAUUACAUGACUUUAAAAGGGGUGACUCCACCUUAAGAGCAUACACGUUUUUUUCACACAGUUAUGAUUAAUUUGAUAGAUUCCAUGUAGCUCCGUCUUGAUUAUUACACUAUAGCUAUUUUUAAUGCAUGAAUUUUAACCUAAAAUUCCACAAAUGGAUUCCAAUAUGAAAGUAAACAAAGUGUUGGGAACUGUGUUUCUAUGAAAUAAAUGUAAAAGGAUCAAGUUUUAUUUAUUUUUUAUGCUUAGGAGUUACAUUUGUGUGCUGCUCUUCUAAACUGAAUAUUAAUAAAACCUUUUUAAAAAGUUAGUGAAUUCACAAGAUUUGAUUUUUGGAUAAUCCAAUUUAAAUCAAUAAUUGUAUUUAGAUUAAAUAAAUAUUUAUAACUAGUUUACAUUAUGAUGAAAAUGUUGGCAAUGAAAUGAGUGACAAGUAACUUGUUAUCACAGUGGGAGCAUCAUUAUUUAAUGGUAAAUCAAUUGUUAUUUUCUCAAGGAUUCCAUAAUUUCAGAGCGUGAAUUAUGCUGGGGACGUUUUAUAGAUAUACUUAUAUCAGUUUCCAAUGACAGGAUAAUUUGAGAUAUUUCACCACACAUAUAGAGGGAUACUAUAGUCACCAAAUCAACUUUAAGCUAAUGAAGCAUUUUUGGUGUAUAGAUCAUGCCCCUACAGUCUCACUGAUUAAUUCUCCGGCAUUUAAGAGUUAAAUCACUUUGUUUAUGCAGCCCUAGACCCUCCCUGCAUAUUACUUGCACAGCCUUCCUAAACACUUCCUGUAAAGUGAGAUCUAAUGUUUAUACUUCCUUUAUUGCAAAUUCUGUUUAAUUUAGAAUUUCUUUUCAACCGCACUGUUAAUUGUUUGCUAGACCUUGCAGGAGUCUCUUCUAGGUGAGUAAAGUUCAAUUUACAGAGUAAAAAAUAAAAACUAAAGUAAGUUACUUCUGAUUGAAAAUGAAACCACUUUUUGUAUGCAAGCUGUACCAGUCACGGCAGGGGAGGUGUGGCUGGGGCUGCAUAAACAGAAAAAAAAGUAAUUUCACUCCUAAAUGGCAGAGAAUUUAGCAUGAUCUUUACACAAAAAGCUGCCUCAUUAAGCUAAAGUUGUUUUGGUGACCAUUAAAUAUCUCUACGAUCCAUCCAGGGUUUUAUAUACUACUAUAGCAGCCAGCAAGGCAUGCCUGUGGUAUACUCAGAGACCGUCUCUUCUUCUCCCUAUAUCUGACUAUUAGAAUGCAGUCAUGGAAUUUUACUUGCGGGAGAAAGGGGUGCUGAAGUACUACCAUUUUCAGACACUUCUCUACCCUGUGUUUUGCAUAUGUUUUACCAUAUUUCUCAAUUUUUCUCCAUGUUUCUCAAUUUUUUUAUCGUUCGCUUGGAUUUCUAAUUUUUACUCAAACCUGCAUGUAUGUGACAAUUACCAGUGGGACAACCGUACUGUAGAAUAUUUCAGUUUAAUGUCACAAGUACAAAUGCCAAACCAUGCCAGCAUUCUUCAGCAGUGUUACAAGCCCUACGUGGGUCUGAAAAGGACAUGCAAUGCAAGCAUAAACAGAUGUAUGGUAAUUGGUUAAAUUCAAGGGAUAAAGCUAGUUUAAGGAGGCAUUUCAAAUAUUUAGAGAUGCUUUUUAAAUGUUGUGUAAACAGAGCACCUUUAUUUGUCCAGAAAUCUCUUCUGGCUACAUAGCUGCAUAACAAAGAUUAAGAAAUGAAAAGAAACCAUAAUUUAUUCACAAUAAAACAUGUCCAAAAUAGUGGUUUUGCUGUUAUUUGCCAGAAUAUUUUGAGUGCAACUGUGGAAAUAAUUUUGCAAACCUAUAGUUAUAAAGCUGCCACUUUUAUCAAGUUUGUUAAUCCAUAAUUAAUAAAUAAGCAUAAUCCGCAUCUCUUUUUUUUUUUGUUUAUAAAUGGCUAUCAGCUGUAAUUUUUAAAGUAUAGAUAAAUUAUUGUAAAGUGCAAACACUCUUACCAUGUAUGUGCAAGGGAAUUAAGUUUCAUUGUGGAACAUGUACAAUUUAAGAUUGCUUGUAUACAAGAAGAUCUAUAAUGUAUGUAUUAUUUUAGCAGAGUUUUAUAAAAACACACAAUAAAGUUCAGAGUCUUGCCAGCAUAGCUAGGCAAAAGUCUGCUGCUUAGUUGCUUGUCAUAUGCCUAAUCUCUAAUCUUAAUAUGUAGCCCCAACACCAGAUAAAAAGCAAACCCUAUUACAACAAACCGGUCAAUUUUGAAAUUGUAAUAUAUUCUUUAUGAAAAAUGGCCUAUAUCAGUGACGUAACUAGUAAUUGUCCCGACCCCACCCUCCCUCCCCACACACACACACAUGUUUCAUUCCUUCCCUCAGCUACCCAUGUGUCUAAUUUCCUUCUCCCGCUCCACACGUGUCUCCUUCCCUCCCCCCAUCCCCUCCACGAGUCUCAUUCUCUCCCUCUCAGCUACUCGAUGGCUCAUUUCCCCGCUCCUCCCCAGUCCCUCCAUUAUUCUAAUUUCUCCACCUCUCAUCCCCUUCGCCCCCCACCCAGCCCUCAUUAACCCCCCUCACUUCCAAUCCAGCCCUCAUUACACCCCCUCACCGCCUAUCCAGUCCUCACUCCAUCUCUCACCCCCCAUCCAGCCCUCAUUGACACCCUCACCCCAUCCAGCCCUCAUUAACCGCCCUCACCCAGCCCUCAGUCCAUCUCUCACCCCACAUCCAGCCAUCAUGAACCCCCCCACCCUCCAUUCAGCCCUCAUUAACCCCCAAAACUAACCCUCAUUAGCCCCUUCACCCCAUUCAGCGCUCUCUCUCACCCCCAUCCAGCCCUUAAUCCCUCUCUCAGCCCCCCAUUCAGCCCUCACUCUCUCACCACCCCUUCCAGCCCUCAUUAAGCCCCCUCACUCCCCCCAUCCAGCACUCAAUCCCUCUGUCCCCACUCUUCCUCUGUACCUUAUGUCUGAGUGUAGUGUGGCCGAGGGAUACCCAGUCUAACAGGAAGUUCUCUGUAAGUGAGCACUUCCUGUCAGCCGGGAUACUUGGCCGCACUACACACAGAGAGCGCGCUACACACACCGCGCUCCCUGAAGUUGUGGUGUCCCACGGUUGCAGGGGUCGCAGCUGCAGCUGUGACUCCUCCGACUGUGGUAGGUACACCACUGGCCUAUAUAUUACAUUUGUAGUGUACGCUGAAAUUUUAGCACAAUCAAAAAGUAUAUAGAAGACAGGACUGAUUUGAUUUAUGUAUGUUAUUGAACAUGGGGAAGCUGGUAGAGUAGCUAGAUUCUGGCUUUUUACUAUAACUACUACCAUAAGUAAUAUGCUGUGUGUGUGGGAGAGAAGAUCUAUGAAGGAUUCUGCAAUCUUGCAGAAACUUAUAUUGACUCCUAUUUUGUACUCUUGUUUAUGUGCUGGAGUACCAAAGGUGACACCACCUUGGCAUGCCAAGAGACAGAAAGAAAAUGGCACUGCCAAGGGAGAAAGAGUUAGAGAUUAAUAGAUGGGACUGAACUCCCUGUACCCCGGCUGGUUCCCUCCGCCAGCUUCCUAGCCGCUUGCAGGGACCCUGGAACACUUCUGCCCCAGUCACCACAGCUUGACUGAGGUCAUUCUGGAGCUUUUGUACCUGACCAGGCAGCAGCUCUCCUUCCAGGCAGGUAUCAUCCCCUCUGCCUGUUCCAUUGCAGCCCUUCUACUCGGCAGGUCCCCUCUGCGUAUUCUGCUGCAGCUCUGUUUACAGUGAUUAUAGUUAUUGCCUUUACAAAGAAAGAAUUGCAUCUCUUAGGCCUAGCUCUUUUGAUUUAUCCCAGGUUUAGAGGGAUCCUGCAACCAGCAAACAGGUCCAAAGACUCUGUCACUAGGAUCCCUAAAAAUCCACACAAGAUACAAGUUCCAGAGGGAACUGACAUACAAAAUUUUAAUUUUUCUCUGGACUAGCCCAUAGACUCAUUACAUGUUGGUUCCUGUGACAACUUAAAUAAAAUAUAAAAAAAGAAAUCAUAGCAGACAAUAUACAGCAACUUAUUUUAACACAAUGACAUAUUUAUAAAGGGGUGGAGAAGAUAAUAAUUAAGACAAAAUAUCUCUCCUGCCUGCAGAAUUAGCAAUAUGCAAAUCUACCUGAAUAUGCAAAUUAGCAAGAAUUUCUAUUCAGGUAGUGCAUAUAGCUGAUGCUGCAACCAACAAAGGGUGCUAUACAGGUCCCAUAGCCAAAUCCUCCUAGUUGGUAGCAAGCAUUACAUCAGCAGUACAGGAGAGCACACAAACAAUUAAUUAAUACAUAAUACACAUACAUUACACAUAAUACACAUACAUUACACACACCCUGCAUCUUCAUUGGGCACAGGGUGACUUAAACAUAGGAGUCAUCCAGGGAUCUAAUUGAAGUGUCCAUCUUAUGCUCCCAGUGAUGGUGACUACUGUCACAGUUGAUCAUGUCCUUCCCAUACUCCUACCAGGUUACAUAAUCAAUCUGAUGUUUUACCAAUGUGGAACUAUGCAAAAAAGUGCAUAGACCCUCUCCAACUUAGUGACAAGCUCAUUUUAGGGCUAACUCGCCAAUAUAAGCUGUGCUGCAAUGAUGAGGUGCCAUGUUAAAGGUAAUGUAAAUAUGAUAUGCAUCAGAAAGUGGUUGAAAAGCAUGAGUUUUUAACCCCUGGUUUGGACCCAUAUUUGGUGCUAUUUCAUGCAAUUUCAGUGGGUGACUAAUGGUUGAAUGUGGAACAUCUUAUUUAUGAUCCUUGCAAUGUGCUCAGUUAAUGUAACUGUAUAUUAUCUUUUUUAAUUUUGUAGAGUAUAAAUAAUAAAAAAAAAAGAAUCAAGGUGUGACAGUGAGUCAUUCCUGUGAAAUCUGUUUUCCCAGAAUUUGUCCAUUUUCCUAUAUCAACAGCUUCUGUUAUUUUUUUCACGAUCCUUGUGAUUGAAUUUCCUCUCAUUAUGGAAGAUUCAUGUUAUUCAUUAUGUCGGGAACAGUUUUUUUCCAAAGACAAUUUAAAAUAUUAUCAUUAGUUAUCAGCAUAGGCGUGGGCAGCCUAUUGCAUUAGGAUGUGCACCCUAAAGCACAAACACACGCCGCGCGUGUGUGUGUGUGUGUGUAUGUAUCUAUAUAUAUAUAUAUAUAGAUACAUACACACACACACACACUGCUGUGUGUGCUGUUAGUGUGCUGUGUGCUGUUAGUGUGAUGUGUGUGUGAGGGUGCUGUUAGUGUGAUGUGAGGGUGUUUGUGUGUGUGUGUGUUUGUGACUGUGCUGUUUGUGUGUGUAUAUUUGUCCUGUGAGGGUGCUGUUUGUGUGAGUGUCGUGUAUUUGUGAGGGUGCUGUUUGUGUGUGUGUGUGUUUGUGAGGGUGCUGUUAGUGUGCUGUGUGUGAGGGUGUUGUGUUUUUUUAAAGGUGCUGUGUGUGUUUGUGAGGGUGCGGUUAGUGUACUGUGUGUGUGUGAGCUGUAUGUGUGUAGGUGCUGUAUGUGUGUGUGUGAUUUGGCAGAUUAGUAAAUCCUUGCUGCCAUGUGCCAUCCCUGGUGGUCCAGUGGAGAGUGAACUCUAGCCUGCGGGGCUAGAGUUAACUCUCGCGAGAUCUGAGCGUUGCCGCAGCAACGCUCAGAUAUCACGAGAGGGACAUGGCGGAGCUUCUGUCUAGAGCUCCCUGGGUCCUCUCCUGCCUCCCUCCAUGCUGCUGUGGGCCGGUGAGGUAGAUCUUUGGUCUCCCCGCCGGCCCAUGGAGGCUUAGAGCAGAGCCGGCACUCAGAUAGCGCCGGCUCUGCGUGUGUGUGUGUGUGUGUGUAUAUAUAUAUAUAUAUAUAUGUGUACACACACACACUCACAGACACAUUCAGACACACACACACACUCACAGAAACACACUCACACAGACACACACACACAAUUACACAGACACACACAUACACUCACAGACACACACACACAUACACAAUCACAGACACACACAGACACACACACACUCACACACAGACACACACUUACACACAGACUCACACACAGACACACACACACACACACAGACACACACACUCACACACAGACACACACACACUCACACACUCACACACACACACUCACACACAGACACACACACUCACACACAGGCACACACACUCACACACAGACACACACACACACACUCACACACACACAUACAAAUUAUUAUAUUUGAAUUAAAAAAAAAUGUCCACCCAGCCUCCUACCUGGAGCUCAGCCGCGGCGAGGGAGCAGUCUGCUCUCUGCUCCCUCUCGCCGCGCGGGCUGUCUGCUGUAGCUGGGAGCCGGAAUAUGAUGUCAUAUUCCGGCUCCCGGCAUCAGCGCGCGGCGAGAGGAAGCAGAGAGCAGACCGCUCCCUCGCCGCGGCUGAGCUGCAGAGAGGGGGGUUAUCCAUCACCUCUUGCCCUCCCCAUGACAGGGGCAAGAGGUGAGACAGGGGGUGCUGAGUGCCUGCAGGAACAGCGUUUCUGCUCAAAAAAAGUGCAGGAACACUGUUCCUGCCGGACUCAAACCAUAGGCAUGCCACGGGGAUUAAGGUGUGCCCAGACACACCAGGCACACCCCGUGCGCACGCCUAUGGUUAUCAGUAUUAUAUUGUUAUAUACCACCAGAAGUUACUUUCAAAUACACGUUCGUAACAGGCAUACACAAUGAUAGGCUGAAAUACAAUGAUCAUAUAAGGCUUUAUAAGCCUCCCCCAGUCUGCGCGUCACCUCCAUGGGUGAAGAAGGAUUUAAAAAAAAAAAAAUAAUAAUUUAAGUGCGUCGGUUAUUAUGGAUUUUGAUUUGGCCUUUUUUGGGGCUGAAAAAAGAAGAUUUUAGAAGAAAGAAAACAUCAAAUGGUAAGUUUUAUUUUAUCUUUUUUAACAGGUACUUAGUUAAUGCCCCCCCCUCAUUAUUUUUAGGGUGAAAGGGGUAGGUAGGAGUUAAAAACAUUUUGGGAGGGGGGUGACUAGAGGUUUGGGGACCCCUAGUCACCUGGUGGUGGGGGGUGGGGUUACAUUUUUAUUUAGGGUCCCCACCCGCCACCCAGGGGUGGGGGCCAGAGGGGAGGACAUUAGGUCCCCCCCUAAUUGGUAUUUAGGGCCCCCACCCACCGCUCAGGGGUGGGGACAGGGGAGGAUGACAUUAGGUCCCCCCCUCAUUCUAAUUUAGGGCCCCCAUCCACCGCUCAGGAGUGGGGGCCAGGGAGGAGGACAUUAGAUCCCCCCCUCAUUCUAAUUUGGGGCCCCCACCCACCGCUCAGGGAUGGAGGCCAGGGGGGAGGACAUUAGGACCCCCCUAAUUAGUAUUUAGGGCCCCCACCCACCACUCAGGGGUAGGGACGGGGGGAGGACAUUAGGUCCCCCCUUAUUCUUAUUUAGGGCCCCCACCAUCUGCUCAGGGUAGGGGUUGGGGGGAGAACAUAGGUCCCCCCCCCAUUAUUUUACUUUAGGCCCCCCAUCUGCAGCUCAGGGGUGGUGGCCGGGGGGGAGGACAAUAGGUCCCCCCUUAUUCUAAUUUAGGGUCCCCACCCACCGCUCAUGGGUGGGGGCUGGUGGGAGGACAAUAGGUCCCCCCCCUUAUUUUACUUUAGGGCCCCCAUCCGCCGUUCAGGGGUGAGAGCCGGGGGGGGCAAUAGGUCCCCCCUUCAGGUUAGAAGCCCCCACUUGCGCGGCACGGGUGGGGGCUUGGGAGGGGGGACAUGUUAUUUUUUUUUUUACAGUGAGCAGCCAUAGGCUAAGUAAUCUUUGCUUAGUAUUAGUAAAUUUGGCUGAAAGACCAAUUCAGAUCUUUCAGCCUUUUAGUAGGACCGUGGGAAUUAGAGAGUUAUCUACUUAUAUGACUGGCUAAGUAACUUACAUUUUAUAUGAAUGUAUGUUACUUGAUUGUUGUAAGUGUUGCAAAUGCUUACAGCUGAAUCCUGGCUAUGUUUGUAUACUUUUUAUUUAAACUUGUAUACAUUGUAACAUUCUUCUUCCACUGGGUAAGUAUACUUCGGCACAUCAGCAGUUCGGAACUUCGACACUUCUGAAAUUCUGUAAUUUCGGAAAUUCUGUAAUUUCGGAACUUCGGGACCUCAGCAAUUCGGCACUUCGGCUAUUCGGCACUUAGGCUAUUCGGACAUUGGGAAGUACCCGAAUGUCCGAAUUGCCUAAGUGCCGAGUUCAUAUUUGGACCGAAAUGAAUUGCACAUGUCUAGAUAGCACCAAGUUACCCAUCACCAAUUACACCACAAUCUCGCAGACACUUAGAGCUGUGGUAGUCAGUUUAGUUUAUGUUUAGUGAAUUUAGUGUAUGUUUGUAGGGAAUCCUGUGUGUGUAGGGGAUGUAGUGGAUGCUGUUUGUGUAUCUGUGUAUGUCAGAGAGGAAGUUAAUUGAUACAGAGUUCAUAGUGGAUGCAGUUAGUGUGUGCAUAGUUAAUGCAAUGUGUGUGUUUGAAUAGUGUAUGCAGUGUGUGUAAGGGAUGCAAUGUACAAAGGCGUAACUACUGUGGUCGCAGGGUCGCAACUACGACCGGGGUCAUGACUCCAAGUGGCUCAGCUGCCCUGAGGGGGUUGUUUGCAUGUGUGUAUAAAUAUAUAUAUACCGCUCCCCACGUGUCUCCUUCCCUCCGCCCCAGCCCCUCCACGAGUCUAAUUCUCUCCCUCUCAGCUACUCCAUGGCUCAUUUCCCCGCUCCUCCCCCAGUCCCUCCAUUUGUCUAAUUUCUUCACCUCUCACCCCCUUCGCCCCCCACUCAGCCCUCAUUAACCCCCCUCACUUCCCAUCCAGCCCUCAUAUAUAUUAUUUGGACAUGCGCUUGUAUAUAUAGUCGUGUCUCUCCAGUGUGACUUUUUCACACUUUGUGUCCUCCAUUUGUCUCACAACAAAGAAGGCAAUAGCGGGGGUGAGGGGUUGCAACAUAACAACAUAUUGGACUAAUAUGGCAACAUGCCCCAAUGGGGGGGCGCAGCAAUAUGAAGCAAUAAAGAACUGCUGGAUUAUUGCUUGUUGGAAUUAAAUGUGCAAGCGUGUUUGCAAAGGGAAAAUUGUCUCAUGAAGUGCAAAGUACCUUAACAUCAUAUGAAAUUGUAAAAUGUUAAUAAUGUGAUAAUCAUAUUUAUUUUAAAUAUAUUUUUUUUUAUUUUUAACGUUAUUUCGCUGUUACUGAGGUUUGACCAUGUCUAAUGUUCAUAAAAGUGAAAAAGAUAUAAUUUUUCUUGUUAUAAAAAAUAUACUAGGUGUAAAAUGUGAGCCACCUGAUGUGUUUUUAAAUGACCUACAGAUCAUAAAGGUCAUUGUUGUAAAUGGGUCAUCAGAAACAUGUCCACUCUGCGAGAUAUUGUUUUAUACCGUUUUUUGUUUUUUUUUACUUUUAGAUUACAAGUUUUUAAAUGUAGUAGUAAUAUUGUAUCCCAUCAACAAAGCUGCAUUUGUUUAUGACCAUAUGUGGGGAAUGCAUAUAAUGAAUCUCUAAACUUUAGCUCACAGUUGAAAUCACAAAAUAAAGGUCUUGAGGCGUUUCUUAAGUAUUCAAGGUAUUUAUAAAUAAGUUCCAGUUAAGUGUUCUUUCCCGUCAUCUGUCUGAUGAGUGAUUAGUGAGAUUACUGUAAUCUUAUCUCAAUACAAAAAAAAUCUAUUCCGUACCAACUUCCUAUUAAGGAUAUAAUCAUUGUAAAAGUAGCAGUGAGGAGAAUAGCAUAUCAUAUAUAAAAAUGUUCUAAUGCAAAAAAAUAAGCAAAAAUAAAUAAAUAUAUAUAUAUAUAUAUAUAUAUAUAUAAAACUUCCCUCUGAGCAUCUCUGUGAUCAAGAAUAUUAAUCAGUGCAGUAACUCGAUGAAUAUCACACACGAGUAAGCAAUACCGGGAGGCAGCUUCCAUCUACAAACGUUAAGUAAUUGACAUGUAUUUAUGAUUUCAAAUCCCAGUUAUGUGCAAUUAGCUUUAGGAAGAGAAGGCUGCAGGCCUGAAAACAUGGUUAAUAAGCAAAUAAUAUUUUAUCUGGAAUCUGACAAUUUACAUAUAUUACAUAACUUGAAGCACCAUAACCGCAUUAACCUACUGUAGUGGUGAUGAUACUAGGAGUAUCCUGGCGCUGUUCCCAAUAAUUGGGCAAACCAUUUUGCAACAGUUUGUGCUUGGGUCUCUCUGGGCGCUGGGUCACCUCUGAAGCAGGUUGAACAACAUCUGGCUUCUGCAGAAUGCACAGGAGAAAGCCCCUUCACUCUAAAAAGGACAAGGCAGCAUGAUUAUGUUUGCCAAGCUGCAUCUGAGCAAACCACAAGACUUCUGGAACAACAUCCAUUGGACAGACGAGACCAAAGUGGAGAUGCUUGGCCAUAAUGCACAGCACCAUGUUUGGUGAAAAAACAAACACAGCAUAUCAGGACAAACAGCUCAUAACAACUGUCAAGCACAGUGGUGGAUAGGUGACGAUAUGGGCUUGUCUUGCAGCCACAGGACCUGAGAACCUUGCAGUCAUUGAGUUGAUCAUGAACUUCUCUGUAUACCAAAGUAUUCUAGAGUCAAAUGUGAGGCCAUCUGUCCAACAGCUCAAAUAUGGCUGAAACUGGGUUAUGGAGCAGGACAAUAAUCCCAAGCACACCAGCAAAUCUACAACAGAAUGGCUGAAAAGGAAAAGAAUCAAGGUGUUGCGAUGGCCCAGUCAAAGUCCAGACUUCAACCCUGUGGCGGAACCUUAAAGAGAGCUGUGCAAACACAAAUGCCAGCAAAUAAACUGGAGCAACAUUGUAAAGAAGAGUGGGCUAAAAUUCCAUCACAACAAUAUGAGAGACUGAUAAAUUCAUACAGAAAACAAUUACUAAUGGUGGUUCCACAAGCUAUUGCUGCUAAUGGUAGUUCCACAAGCUAUUGAAUCGUACUUUCACACAUAGCUUCUCCAUUUUGGCUUUAUAUAUAUUGAUGUAACAUCUAUAUAUUGACCUAAAAUCACUAGUCCCCUACUAUAGGAAUCAAGAUUAGCUCAGAUAGAUUCAACACCCUACAGGAUUAAAGACCAGCUGAACAUGCAAUCAGAUAUAAGUGUCUGGGAGUGCCAAAGUUAAUAUUCUCAAAUCAUUUAUGAAAAUAGACAUUAAAGGGUUAAAUGGUGUUGUGUUUGACACACUGUAUGUAUUUUCAAUUUUUCUUUGAUGCAAAUUCUACAACUCAGAGCAAAAUGACUUUACUGAGUGUUCCACUUGCUUGAUAUAAAUAUUUAUUCUUGAAGGCAUGCAAAAAUUCUCAAGGAGCUUUUCAAAAAUGAAGUAAAGUAUUUCAUAUUAAACCCACCAGUUUCGGCACAAAUAGUACUAUUCUUAAUGUAUGAGUGCACUUUAACGUGCCAAAACUGUUCCGUCCAAUAACGAGUGUUUGUCUUCAUUUUUGCACAGUUUGUUGAGUGUUUCUUUAUUCCUUUCCAAGAAUAAAUAUUUAUCUCAAGCAAGUGGAACGUUGCACUAUAAGUCUUGAGUUAUGAGCUUAUUUGAAAGAGAAAGUACAGGAUCCUGGCAGGAAAUUUAUAAUCUCUAUGGUCAGAGUUGCAAUGUGAAUAUUGACUUUGCUUUGCAGAUACCACUUGAUGAGUUGGUCUUGUCCCUCAGCACAAGAGUUUAGGCAAACAUAAUGAUAUCAUUAUGGUUAGAUUACCAGUGGCAUAAAUAAUAAAUAGAGGGCCUUGGUGCAAGAAUGUUUUUCAGAACUCCAUUAGAGCAGAGGAGGCUAACAGUUUGGUUCUUAUUUCCAUGCAACUCCCUCUAUGCGGUCUGUUUUUCCAGAUGCCAGAAAUUUUUGCCUCAUCAGCAUGGUUACUGACUUGCAAUGGAGGCUUGGCGUUACUUGUCAAGUACAUACCAGCAGAGUGGUGGUGGGGAAAAAAGUGUGGAUGAAAACCCCUUCCACCUGAAGUAAGUGGAUAGUUAAUACAUUGCUAAACUUAAAUACACAAACCAGUCAAGCCAUAAAGUUAGCUUUUCCCACAGAAAUCUCACUUUAACAGUGCUCUCACUACUGCAAUGGAUUCUGGAUAGGCGUAUGCAAAUGAGCUCAACAAAGAACCACAUUUUUUGCCUCAUAAUUCCACUUUAUACAUGGAUUCCUUGGCAUGCUGAUGAGUUGCAUUAACAAUGAAACAGCUGUCCAUGAGUGGUUCACUGGCUUUGCUCCUCUUCCUGAGUUGUGUUUCAAAGCUGUUGUAUACAGCAAACACAUACUCCAAGGAAUCCAUGUAUAAACUGGAAUUAUGUUUUCAUCCAUACUUUUUUCCCCACCUCAACUCUGUUGAUAUAUAUAUAUAUAUAUAUGUAUAUGUGUGUAAAUAACUUGCUUAUUGUCUGUUUUUAUAUAUAUACAGCGUGACUACUUUUCGUUCAUAAUAAAUGUUCCUUUAUUAAGUUCUGCCUUUGUCUGAUUGAAGAGACCUAUUUAAUAGUAUUUUUGGUAGCACUGAUAUUUUGCUAAGGCACAUACUCUAUCUCAACUUGUAUGUUCAAUGAGUUAAGAUGGAAACACACAGUUUCAGAAUAAAGCUAACUAGAGCAGUGUCAAUUUCUUCCUUUUAUUUUUCUCCCAUUAAAUAUAACAUAUAAGGGAUAUAGAAGGGUUAUUAGUAGUAACUUACGAUUUCCCUUUACUCUGGUUCAGGUCUUGAUUGAAGAUUUCAGUUAUGCUCAAGAAGCAUAUUGUUUUUUUCUGACAAGCCUUAGCAUAGUAACAAGCACUUUACCUAAAUCAAUGCACCUUCAGAGCAGUAUAGUUCUAACAUGUAAUUGUCAGAUCAUGUUUAUAAGAUUGUCUAUAAAAAAGAAAGUAACAUCUUCUAACAUGCAUUCUCUUCAUUGCUUUUAGUUAGUACUCAGGGAUUUUUCAAAAAUGUUAACCCUAGACUUUUACUUAAAAGUACGGUUUCAUCAUGUCAGGUGGUCCUUUUUACUGAACUCAAAGCUUAUUUUAUGUCUAUGGCUUUACACGUCAUCUCACAUUAAUUAAAUUAGCCUUUGAACUUUAUUUUUUCUUCCUCUGUCUGACACAAAAGUGAUCAUUUCCCUCCUGAGAAUGUGGAGAAUGUAUAUAUAUUAUUGUAAAAUAGUGUUCUCUAAUGCCUUGUAAUUCCACUGAUACUACUAAAUCAAAUCUACUGUAAUGUAACACAAAACAAUUGAAAAAAAAUAUUUACGAGUGUUCUAUCAAACUCUUUUUUUUAUCUUCUAUUAGACAUUUUUCAAAAAAGUUAAUUUAAGUUGAUUCAGAGCUAAAUAAAGAUGAUCUAUAAUUAAUGACUUUGUGAUCCAAAUCUUAACGUGAGUGUGUCACUUUAGUACUAGAGAUUAGAUUGGUUGUAUUUAGUAUCUGGAUAAAACUGGUUGAUGACUAUAUUUUGUUUUUAUAUUUAAUAAUGUUCACAUUAUUAUGGUUCUGCACCUAUUUAUCUCCUUUAACUUCUGAACAGCAGAGGGUUAAUUAUGUUUGGUUCUAGUUCCUCCAUUCUUCAGCCCAAUCAUAAAUGUUUAAUUUAACAUCUAUAAAAUCAUUCUUUGCCACCCAGGGAUAAACAUUUCCAUCCGGUGUUGAAACCCCAGGACUGUGUGACUACAAGAAAAGCACAAACACGGUUAUAGCUGGAGUGAGGUCAGGUUUAGAAUUGGCUAAGCAGCCAAGAAUUCGGAGCAGGUAGUAAUUAUGAAAAUCAUGAUAAACAAACCAUAUCUGUCAAUAGAAUAUUAUAAUCUGAGUUGCCAUGACACAGAUGCCGUAUCACUUCUUGGAAUUGCACAAAAUAUUUGCAUAUAUCUUGGACGUUGCUGCCAUAUUGUACUUUGAGCCAGUGUUUUGAUGUUUUAGUUGAUGUGACAUUUGUAGCUGCAUCAGGGAUAGGACUUUUGAAGCCUGCUUUAUUUGUCUGUCAUUCUCUCUCUCUCUCUCUCUCUCUCUCUCUCUCUCUGAUAAUAAGUCUUCUCUGUACUCGUAUCGUGUUUUGAUACUUAUCAGCACUAUACAAUUAUAAGUUAUUGCAUUCUUGCUUGAUUCACAACUCUGUGUCCACACUGAGCUUCAUCCUCAUUCUAGGGUUUAUAGGUAUCUGGGCAAACCAGAUAGCUCUCCCAUUCAUAUUAGCUGUCAUCCAUUGAUAACUAACAUUAGAGGCAACAGAUCCCUGGUGGGAUCGUCCACAAAGCACCAUUAAGCAUUCUCACGUUAAAAAAUAUAAUGGUGAUGCAAGCAUUGAUAUGGUUCUUGACAAAUAAGGCUACCAACAGUUGUGAAAAGAAUUCCCUAAAAAAACAAAACACAACUUCUAUGUCCUAUAAGUCCUAAGUCCUAUGAGUUGACCUCUAGACUUAAAAAAUGAAUAAUUUCACUGUCAUAUACUUCUUAUACUCUAAAGGUACCUUGUAGUUUAGUUAAAAAGUACCUAAUUAGUCUAACUAAACAAAAAUUACAAACUCACCAACUGGGAGUUGUGUGGAACAUCUUAAGUGCAGAAUAUAAAGGAGUCAUCUACAGAGUGUUAUCCUAGGAAUCUAUCCAUUCAUGAUGACACAAAUGGAAGGAAUGUAUUUUAAAUGCUGGAGGUGGGACAGACAAGUCAGGAUUAAGUUGCAGAAUGAUAUAAAACAUAUUUUACAAAAUCGAACAUGUAAGACAGCUGAUUAUUUAGGCCAAAUGCUAAAAAUUAUUUUUGCGCAUGAAGUGUCCUUUAAAAUACAAUCAUUGGACAGAAAUACAUUCCCCAUUGUGUAAUAUCCCUCAUGUCUGCUAUUUCAAUACAUUUAAGAUUUGUUCCAAUAUUCAGGGAAAUUAUUUUUUUUCUGUUAAUAUAUUUUACAGAAGGAAAAGGAAUCUUCCAGGAGAAUAUCUUACUUGAAACAGAUUUAAAAAAAAAAUCAAAAUGUCAGCACUUUCAUGUCUUUUUUUUAUAGGUGGAUAUGUCUAUAAUAUUAAAAAUGUUUUAUGCAAACCUUUGUAAACAUUACAAUUAUAUUGUUUUUUUAUCAAGGUUCCGCUGGAGAAGACGUUUACUUGUUAUCUCUGCUCCCAACGAUGAAGAAUGGGCCUAUCAACAGCAGCUGAAUGCGCUGACUGGACAAGCAUGUAACAUGGGU